GUCGAGGGGCAGCGCAGUGUAGCAAUACAUGGGGCGGCGACCGGCAAACGGGUGCGGAANNNNNNCACAACCUUCCUUUAAAUGGGGAAUAGCCCAGGGAAACUUGGAUUAAUACCCCGUAACAUUAUGAAGUGGCAUCACUUUAUAAUUAUAGCUACGGCGUUUAAAGAUGGGUGUGCGGCUGAUUAGGUAGUUGGCGGGGUAACGGCCCACCAAGCCUUCGAUCAGUAACUGGUGUGAGAGCACGACCAGUCACACGAGCACUGAGACACGGGCCCGACUCCUACGGGAGGCAGCAGUAAGGAAUAUUGGGCAAUGGACGCAAGUCUGACCCAGCCAUGCCGCGUGGAGGAUGAAGGUCCUCUGGAUUGUAAACUUCUUUUCUCUGGGGCGAAAAAUAGGUAUUCUUACUUACUUGACAGUACCAGAGGAAUAAGCACCGGCUAACUCCGUGCCANNNNNNGCG
Molecule: ribosomal RNA, 466 nt
Filed under: uncultured soil bacterium
Lineage: Bacteria
Description: partial 16S ribosomal RNA
Rfam family: Bacterial small subunit ribosomal RNA
Source: RNAcentral